CCUUCUUCAUCCGGGACCUACACCGCGCAGUGACUGCGUCAUCACCAGCUUGACAAGAGAAAAGAGAGUGAGGCAGUGAGAAAGAAAUUAAGAUUAAGCGCAAGAGCGAAAACUGAGUCAGUGUGAGAGAAAAUUGUAUCAGUGAUAAUGGGAACUGUAGAUGCUGGAGAAUCCAAGAUAAUAAAAUGUGAGGCUGGAUGAACACAGCAGGCCCAGCAGUAUCUCAGGAGCACAAAAGCUGACGUUUCGGGCCUAGGAUGAAGGGUCUAGGCCCGAAGCGUCAGCUUUUGUGCUCCUGGGCCUGUUGUGUUCAUCCGGCCUCACAUUUUAUUAUCAGUGUGAGAGAAACAAUGUGAAAGAUAGGGGUAGGGAUAGAGAAAGAAAUUGAGAGUGAAACAGAGAAAGAGAAACUGAAAGUCAGAGGAGUGGGAGUGAAACUGAGUGUGAGAAAGAUUGAUAGAGAUUUAAAUAGAGAGAGAGAGAGAAAGAAUGGGAGAUGAGAGGAAGGAGGGAGGCACACAGGCUGAGCUAAGGGACGUGAGUUGACUUUACAUCCGCUGUCCCGCCCAUUCCCCAUACCCCUCAGUGCCCAACAUUUGCUCUUCUCAAUCUUGAAUAUGAUCACUGAUGCAGUAUCUGUAAUGCUCUGGAGUAGAGAACUCAAAAGACACAAUCCUGUGAGUGAAGAAAGUUCCCUUCCCUUGUUCUGAGACACUGCACCCCUUUUGUGUUAGGUACCUUAACCAGGGGGGAAGCAAAACCUUGUAAAUAUCUGUCAAUCUCCUGCCAUCUUGUAUGUUUCGAUGAGAUCAUAUUCUCCUACAAAACAUUGGCCCAGAUAAGGCUCCUCCUCAUUUAUAUUGUGAGAAAACCCCCUCAUCUGUGAACUGUCUAGUGGAUGUCUAUAAAGUAUGCCAUUCCCCAGUUUAAGGGGUAUGCUGACCAUGCUGCGGCUCUCGGUUAUUUUUCCAGUAGGAGUAUUGCUUUUGAGGACGAUGGCGUGGACCUCUUCUGGAAACUCGCAUUCACAGCUAGUCCAGAAUCUUAAAAAAGGUGGUGUGAUUCGCUCUCAACGAGUGUUUGAUGCAAUGAUAGCUACAGACCGGGCGCUGUAUUGCAGAACUAACCCGUACGCUGAUUCUCCACAGUCGAUAGGUUAUCAGGCAACUAUUAGUGCACCUCACAUGCACGCACAUGCACUGGAAUGUCUGAACAGCCAUCUGUAUGAAGGGGCUCGAGCUCUGGAUGUGGGUUCUGGAAGUGGCUACUUGACUGCCUGCAUGGCCAAAAUGGUGGGAGCCACGGGGACAGUGGUUGGAAUUGACCACAUCCAGGAACUGGUGGAACAAUCCAUUCGCAAUGUGCAGUCGGAUAAUGCCACAUUGCUCAGCUCAGGCCGGCUCACUCUGAUUGUGGGAGAUGGCCGCCGCGGUUACCCCGAAGGAGCGCCUUAUGAUGCCAUUCACGUGGGUGCAGCUGCAGCUGUAGUUCCUCAGAACGUAAUUGCUGGAUCAGCUGAAGCCUGGUGGCCGUAUGGUCGUUCCAGUUGGUGUAAGCGGGGGGAGUCAGUCAUUACAGCAGUUUGACAAAACGUUAGAUGGAACCAUUGUCCGCACCACACUGAUGGGAGUGAUAUACGUGCCCCUGACGGAUCGGGAGAAGCAGCUAAGAGGGCAUGACCUGUGAAGGAAUGAGGCAGAGUCUCGCCAAUACCCCCUGGAGGACCUGAUUCUGUGCGGCUGACGAAGAUUGUGUUUUGACCUCAGUAUCACUCUCACUCGAUGGAAAUCAGUGCUAUGCCUUAGGUUUGGAUGGUGGGGUUACUCUUGGAUAUCAAUGAACUGGUUUGAACGUGGGUGGUCAGUACUAUUGACAUGACUGUAGAACGGCCCACAGUGUGUCUCUGUGGUGUAGAUGGAAUCUACAAUAAAACAUCUGCUUGGCUCACAACAA
This is an RNA transcript of Stegostoma tigrinum, 1953 nucleotides long. It is a transcript of the gene named protein-L-isoaspartate(D-aspartate) O-methyltransferase-like, with no coding region annotated. The transcript has 9 exons. Lineage: Eukaryota; Metazoa; Chordata; Chondrichthyes; Orectolobiformes; Stegostomatidae. The record is from RefSeq and is a predicted model, not a curated record.